This is a non-coding RNA of Cordylochernes scorpioides, 65 nucleotides long. The record is from the annotation of a GenBank genome assembly. Lineage: Eukaryota; Metazoa; Arthropoda; Arachnida; Pseudoscorpiones; Chernetidae.
UGGAGUGAGUAGUAUUCAGGCGUCGGCUGGAGUCGCGACGGCGCCAGUCUGCUGCUCACACCACG